This is a small nuclear RNA of Echinops telfairi (small Madagascar hedgehog), 165 nucleotides long. Its record names the gene U1. It matches the Rfam family "U1 spliceosomal RNA". From Rfam's summary of the family: U1 is a small nuclear RNA (snRNA) component of the spliceosome (involved in pre-mRNA splicing). Lineage: Eukaryota; Metazoa; Chordata; Mammalia; Afrosoricida; Tenrecidae. The record is from Ensembl.
AUAAGAAAAGGGUCACAUCUCUACCAUGAUCACGAAGGUGGUUUUCCUGGGGCGAGGCUUAUCCAUCGCACUCUGGAUGUGCUGGUUCCUGUGAUUCCCCCAAAUGUGGGAAACUUGACUGCAUAAUAUGUGGUCGUGGGGGGACUGCAUUCGCGCUGUCCCCUG